Molecule: ribosomal RNA, 641 nt
Filed under: uncultured marine eukaryote
Lineage: Eukaryota
Description: SSU rRNA
Rfam family: Eukaryotic small subunit ribosomal RNA
Source: RNAcentral
UUGCGGUUAAAAAGCUCGUAGUUGGAUCUCGGCAAGUAGAGGGCGGUAUGCUUCGUAGCAUUACUGCCCUAUUACUUGUAGUUUUGCCAGAGGUUCCUGGGUGCUCUUAAUCGAGUGUCUAGGGAUGCUGGCAGGUUUACUUUGAAAAAAUUAGAGUGCUCAAAGCAGGCUAUUACGCUUGAAUAUUCGUGCAUGGAAUAAUAGAAUAGGAAGUUGUUUCUAUUUUGUUGGUUUUCGGAAAUCGACUUAAUGAUUAAUAGGGACAGUCGGGGGCAUUUGUAUUCAAACGACAGAGGUGAAAUUCUUGGACCGUUUGAAGACAAACUACUGCGAAAGCAUUUGCCAAGAAUGUUUUCAUUAAUCAAGAACGAAAGUUAGAGGUUCGAAGGCGAUUAGAUACCGCCCUAGUUCUAACCAUAAACGAUGCCAGCUAGCGAUCUGAGGACGUUUUUUUUGUAGACUCCUCAGGAAGCUUCCGGGAAACCAAAGCGUGUGGGUUCCGGGGGAAGUAUGGUUGCAAAGCUGAAACUUAAAGGAAUUGACGGAAGGGCACCACCAGGAGUGGAGCCUGCGGCUUAAAUUGACUCAACACGGGAAAUCUCUGUCCUGCUAAAUAGUGUCAGCCUCUCUUCUGGGCUGAC